RNAcentral lists this ribosomal RNA (460 nucleotides) under uncultured bacterium. Its description in RNAcentral is "partial 16S ribosomal RNA". It matches the Rfam family "Bacterial small subunit ribosomal RNA", at positions 338 to 795 of the family's 1533-position model. The record is from RNAcentral.
CCUACGGGAGGCAGCAGUGAGGAAUAUUGGUCAAUGGACGAGAGUCUGAACCAGCCAAGUAGCGUGAAGGAUGACUGCCCUAUGGGUUGUAAACUUCUUUUAUAUGGGAAUAAAAUGUUCCACGUGUGGGCUUUUGUAUGUACCAUAUGAAUAAGGAUCGGCUAACUCCGUGCCAGCAGCCGCGGUAAUACGGAGGUUCCGAGCGUUAUCCGGAUUUAUUGGGUUUAAAGGGAGCGUAGGUGGAUUUUUAAGUCAGUUGUGAAGGUUUGCGGCUCAACCGUAAAAUUGCAGUUGAAACUGGCAGUCUUGAGUACAGUAGAGGUGGGCGGAAUUCGUGGUGUAGCGGUGAAAUGCUUAGAGAUCACGAAGAACUCCGAUGGCGAAGGCAGCUCACUGGACUGCAACUGACACUGAGGCGCGAAAGUGUGGGUAUCAAACAGGAUUAGAUACCCCGGUAGUC